AUCAAUGUAUGCACUGAUAUGAGCAAGAUUUCACAACUGCAAAUUAAUUGUAAUCUUUGGAUAGAUUACGUCUAUUUUAAAACCAUGAAACCACUCACUCUUUUACAAUGUGCGCGUCGAUGUCUCGGCUGGACACUGUGCAAAUCGUUUGACUAUUUCCUCGAAGAUUUUAGGUGUACUUUGAAUAGGCUGAACAGUUCUGAUGCUGCGCCAUCGAGGCUAAUAUCUGAAGCAGGAACAGUUCACAGUUCCAUCUCGCUGUGGCCGAAGAGCUUUGCUGGUGCCUGUAAUGGACUUAACUGUCCUACCAACAGAUACUGCCAGGUCCGUAAUGAUGGUUCCACAAGGUGCAAAAGAUUAUAAAGAACAGACACGUCUAUCAAUAGUUUUAGUUUGUAUCGACAGAAAUUAUACAAAGGAAUUUCAAUUUGCGACUGUUGGAAUGGUGUGAAAAGCCUAGUAUUGAAGUCUUAAUACCGACGACGACGACGACGACGACGAUGAUGAUGAUGAUGAUACACUAAUAGGUUCAGUUAACCCUAUUGACGGUGAACCUAUAGACAUCAUGUAAAACCUGCAGAAGGAAUACUUCAGACAAGAAUAAUACAAACUUCAAAGACCAAAUUUAGGAUCAAGAUGAGGAUGUUUGUUGUACAAAAGCUCUCCUACAUGGAUAUGACCAAGUGUUCCAGAACAAGUCCUGGUUCGUGAUGGUGACGGAAUGCUCCAGCAAAUCAUUCAUACAGCUUACAUACAGUGUUCACAUGACUGAUGAUUUCCAACGGCCUUGUUUAUGGUAGACGUUCUACGUUCUUCAGUAAACCGUCUAGGUUGACAGCCUGAUAUAACGUCGAGGACGUUCUGGGCAGUUAUGAAGCCGUGGAUGCGAUUGGGGAUUUACGAUUCUGUCCGAGGUCUUGUAAUUAAGGGGUUCUAUGCAUGUAAGUAGUUUGGACAAACCCAAUGCCCAUUUUUCUGUGAUGUGAAAUUACAGUGUCAUUACUGAGCAAAUAUGUAUGGUGUUUUGUGUACAAUUCGUAUUAAAGAAAUACAAGCCA
Haliotis rubra (blacklip abalone) is the source of this 1058-nucleotide long non-coding RNA. RefSeq lists it as uncharacterized. The record is from RefSeq and is a predicted model, not a curated record. The transcript is spliced from 2 exons. Lineage: Eukaryota; Metazoa; Mollusca; Gastropoda; Lepetellida; Haliotidae.